This 1544-nucleotide long non-coding RNA is filed under the name Heterocephalus glaber (naked mole-rat). RNAcentral's name for it is "lncRNA (ENSHGLG00100045163.1)". Lineage: Eukaryota; Metazoa; Chordata; Mammalia; Rodentia; Bathyergidae. The record is from RNAcentral.
GGGUCGCCUCCAGGAACUGCUUCUGUUCCUUGUGUUCGCGGUUCGUUUUUCUUCUGAAAAGAAAGCCUGUGUUUCAACACGGGUGCUUGGUCUCCACGUGGCAAAGCAGCUCUGUCACCACGCAGUGCACAGGGCAGGCUUGCAGAGCACGAGUGACCCCCGAUGUCCUUUAACGCCGCCUUCUUCCUGCUGCCUCUCAGGGUCUUCGGUCUCGGCACCGGGUCCCUCCCCCUUUCCAUGCAGCUCUGCAGUGACGCUGGUUUGGGGCUCGUUUGGGCUGAAGUUAGCUGUGGGUUUCCCAAACUGACUGAGAUGAGUGCUCGGUGCGGGCAGAGGCGCCGACGGGAGAGGUAAAAAGCCGUAGGCGGCGGCACAGGGACUAAAACGAGCGUCACCACCAGACGCAGCCCGCAGCUGAGGAGCUCGGGCUCACCCCGCUCUGAACCCCGGGUAGAGGCUCAGGUCCGGGAGCAGUUGGUUUGUUCCGGUCUCCGCAGUCAGAACUCUGGGCCUCUGCUCCUCUGUACCUGCAGGGGCGCCCAUGCCCCGUCGCCCCGUCGCCGCCUCCGUCAGAUCAUCGGGCCCUGGGUUCUCAGGAGGAGCGGAGUCCUCAGCCCUCGCAGGCAGCCCCACUGCGGACCCGGCCACAGACAGGCGCUGGGCCCUUCCUGCCUGGUCUCCAUAACCCUGUUACUCGGGACUUACCCGGUCACUUCCGGGGAGAGGAGGGCUCACGGGUAGCAGGGUACAUGAAAACACUGUGCAGUUUUCAGGGGCACCUGCCCCCCAGUGCAGGAAGAGCCCCUCUCCCAGGCCCUCAGACAGCCCAGAUGGGAGAGGGCGCGGCAUCUCCACUCACCUUCCUUGCAGUCACUCGUUUCAUCUAAGAAGAAAGAGGGGAGAGAGGAAGAGGAGGAAGAAGAAAAGUCACCAGUGAAUCCUGAAUUGGAAGGAGACCCAACUGCCCCGAACACCCAGCUCCCCACAGCAGCAGGAGGAGCUCACGUCUCACUGAGGAGCAGCCGCCAGCCGGAGUGCACGUGGAAAAGAGGAGACAGCAGGAUAACCGUCAGUGCCCGGCCCAGAGCUGUGGAUGCCCUAACUCCACGGUGCCCUGCGGGGUGAGACAGGGUUUGGGACAGUGCAGCGAACAGAGCCCGAGGCGUCUCCGGCCUCCCGGCCCAGGUCCACCCACCCUGGGCCCAGGCAUCGUGGGACACUCAGCUGGGAUCCGGAAGCUCAGAUUUCGGGGUUCUGGGGUUGGGGUGCUCGACUUGUAAAGCCUAAGCAAAUAUCCCAACUUCUGAAAAGAAGUCUGAGACCUGAGACCUGUCUGGGGCCAAGCAUUUCUGACAAGGAAAUGCAACCUGCUGGGGACUCAGAGCCUGGGCGGCCCUGGGGAAGCAGCCAGUUCGGCGCCUUGGGGAGCCUGAGACCGGGAGGCCGAGGUGCGGGGGGGCCAGCACAUUCAGUGCUCUUGCUGGAGCCCACAAACCACUUCUGACUCCCAGCUGCUAAGUGAUACACUGUUUACCCAAAUAGAC